UACCUGAAGAUGGAUACAACCCCUGAA
This 27-nucleotide non-coding RNA is filed under the name Bombyx mori (domestic silkworm). Lineage: Eukaryota; Metazoa; Arthropoda; Insecta; Lepidoptera; Bombycidae. The record is from RNAcentral.